GACGAACGCUGGCGGCGUGCUUAACACAUGCAAGUCGAACGGAAAGGCCCUGCUUUUGUGGGGUGCUCGAGUGGCGAACGGGUGAGUAACACGUGAGUAACCUGCCCUUGACUUUGGGAUAACUUCAGGAAACUGGGGCUAAUACCGGCUAGGAGCUCCUGCUGCAUGGUGGGGGUUGGAAAGUUUCGGCGGUUGGGGAUGGACUCGCGGCUUAUCAACUUGUUGGUGGGGUAGUGGCUUACCAAGGCUUUGACGGGUAGCCGGCCUGAGAGGGUGACCGGCCACAUUGGGUCUGAGAUACGGCCCAGACUCCUACGGGAGGCAGCAGUGGGGAAUAUUGCACAAUGGGCGGAAGCCUGAUGCAGCAACGCCGCGUGCGGGAUGACGGCCUUCGGGCUGUAAACCGCUUUCGCCUGUGACGAAGCGUGAGUGACGGUAAUGGGUAAAGAAGUACCGGCUAACUACGUG
Molecule: ribosomal RNA, 468 nt
Filed under: uncultured bacterium
Lineage: Bacteria
Description: partial 16S ribosomal RNA
Rfam family: Bacterial small subunit ribosomal RNA
Source: RNAcentral